CCGGUUGAUCCUGCCGGACCUGACUGCUAUCGGAUUGAUACUAAGCCAUGCGAGUCAUUGUAGCAAUACAAGGCAGACGGCUCAGUAACGCGUAGUCAACCUAACCUAUGGACGGGAAUAACCUCGGGAAACUGAGAAUAAUGCCCGAUAGAACACUAUAUCUGGAAUGGUUUGUGUUCCAAAUGAUUUAUCGCCGUAGGAUGGGACUGCGGCCUAUCAGUUUGUUGGUGAGGUAAUGGCCCACCAAGACUAUUACAGGUACGGGCUCUGAGAGGAGUAGCCCGGAGAUGGGUACUGAGACACGGACCCAGGCCCUAUGGGGCGCAGCAGGCGAGAAAACUUUGCAAUGUGCGAAAGCACGACAAGGUUAAUCCGAGUGGUUUGUGCUAAACGAACCUUUUGUCGGUCCUAGAAACACCGAUGAAUAAGGGGUGGGCAAGUUCUGGUGUCAGCCGCCGCGGUAAAACCAGCACCUCAAGUGGUCAGGAUGAUUAUUGGGCCUAAAGCAUCCGUAGCCGGCGCUGUAAGUUUUCGGUUAAAUCUGUACGCUCAACGUACAGGCUGCCGGGAAUACUGCAGCGCUAGGGAGUGGGAGAGGUAGACGGUACUCGGUAGGAAGGGGUAAAAUCCUUUGAUCUAUUGAUGACCACCUGUGGCGAAGGCGGUCUACCAGAACACGUCCGACGGUGAGGGAUGAAAGCUGGGGGAGCAAACCGGAUUAGAUACCCGGGUAGUCCCAGCUGUAAACUAUGCAAACUCAGUGAUGCAUUGGCUUGCGGCCAAUGCAGUGCUGCAGGGAAGCCGUUAAGUUUGCCGCUUGGGAAGUACGUACGCAAGUAUGAAACUUAAAGGAAUUGGCGGGGGAGCACCACAAGGGGUGAAGCCUGCGGUUCAAUUGGAUUCAACGCCGGAAA
RNAcentral lists this ribosomal RNA (914 nucleotides) under uncultured archaeon. Its description in RNAcentral is "bacterial SSU rRNA". It matches the Rfam family "Archaeal small subunit ribosomal RNA", at positions 4 to 924 of the family's 1478-position model. The record is from RNAcentral.